Molecule: transfer RNA, 59 nt
Filed under: Gloeochaete wittrockiana
Lineage: Eukaryota; Glaucocystophyceae; Gloeochaetales; Gloeochaetaceae
Source: RNAcentral
GUAUGGCCGAGUGGAAUGAGGUCCGGACUUGGAACCCCAAGGUCAGCGGUUCGAUUCCC